Molecule: long non-coding RNA, 218 nt
Filed under: Rattus norvegicus (Norway rat)
Lineage: Eukaryota; Metazoa; Chordata; Mammalia; Rodentia; Muridae
Description: long non-coding RNA NONRATT017734
Source: RNAcentral
AAGUCCCCUUGUGUGGCCACGCCACGAUGGCCUCUGCGGCUGUGCUGUUUCACAAAAUAAAGAACGUGAACAGCACCCUGACCUUUGUCACUCUGAGCGGGGAACUAAAGGCCAGAAGAGCAGAAGACGGGAUUGUCCUGGACUUUCCUCUCUACCCAACCUUCCCCCAGGACUUCCAUGAAGUUAAAGACUUGAUAAAGGUUGGUGAAAAAAAUCCA